GACGAACGCUGGCGGCGUGCUUAACACAUGCAAGUCGAACGGAAAGGCCCUGCUUUUGUGGGGUGCUCGAGUGGCGAACGGGUGAGUAACACGUGAGUAACCUGCCCUUGACUUUGGGAUAACUUCAGGAAACUGGGGCUCAUACCGGAUAGGAGCUCCUGCUGCAUGGUGGGGGUUGGAAAGUUUCGGCGGUUGGGGAUGGACUCGCGGCUUAUCAGCUUGUUGGUGGGGUAGUGGCUUACCAAGUCUUUGACGGGUAGCCGACCUGGGAGGGUGACCGGCCACAUUGGGACUGAGAUACGGCCCAGACUCCAACGUUAGGCAGCAGUGGGGAAUAUUGCACAAUGGGCGGAAGCCAGAUGCAGCAACGCCGCGUUCGGGAUGACGGCCUUCGGGUUGUAAACCGCUGUCGCCUGUGACGAAGCGUGAGUGACGGUAAUGGGUAAAGAAGCACCGGCUAACUACGUG
This 468-nucleotide ribosomal RNA is filed under the name uncultured bacterium. RNAcentral's name for it is "partial 16S ribosomal RNA". It matches the Rfam family "Bacterial small subunit ribosomal RNA", at positions 28 to 507 of the family's 1533-position model. The record is from RNAcentral.